Molecule: ribosomal RNA, 464 nt
Filed under: uncultured Myxococcales bacterium
Lineage: Bacteria; Pseudomonadati; Myxococcota; Myxococcia; Myxococcales
Description: bacterial SSU rRNA
Rfam family: Bacterial small subunit ribosomal RNA
Source: RNAcentral
UCCUACGGGUGGCAGCAGUGGGGAAUUUUGCACAAUGGGCGAAAGCCUGAUGCAGCAACGCCGCGUGUGUGAUGAAGGUCUUCGGAUCGUAAAGCACUUUCGACCGGGACGAACAAGCCUGGCCACACCAGGCCCUGACGGUACCGGGAGAAGAAGCACCGGCUAACUCUGUGCCAGCAGCCGCGGUAAUACAGAGGGUGCAAGCGUUGUUCGGAAUUAUUGGGCGUAAAGCGCGUGUAGGCGGCUUAGCAAGUCGGGCGUGAAAGCCCUCGGCUCAACCGAGGAAGUGCACCCGAAACUGCUGAGCUUGAGUGCCGGAGAGGAUGGCGGAAUACCCCAAGUAGAGGUGAAAUUCGUAGAUAUGGGGUGGAACACCGGUGGCGAAGGCGGCCAUCUGGACGGUAACUGACGCUGAGACGCGAAAGCGUGGGGAGCAAACAGGAUUAGAUACCCUGGUAGUCUGG